GCCAAGGGCGUCGUCGGCGGCGCCAAGAGGAAGAGGACCCCGCGCCCCUCCGCCGCCGCCGCCAAGAAGCCCGCGUCGUCGGCGGAGGCGAAGAAGGCGGUUCCCCCCGCCCGCCCAGCCCGCGCCAAGAGGGCGAGGAAGGCCGCCCCCGCGAAGCCGAUGCAGCCGCCCAAAUCCAUCCGCUCCGCCAUCUCCAAGAAGGCCAACAAGGCCAGCGCCUGAUCAUCGCCGCCGUCUCGCCGCCCGUCGCCGCCGCGCGCUGUAUCCCUGUAUAGCCUAGGUGUUGUCGCUUACCUAGUAGUAGUUCGCCAUCGUCGUCUCGUCUGCUUCGAUCGAUCGAGCGCUCUGUGUCCGGUGUGUGUGUUGCGUUGUAGAUAAGGUUUGGGUUUCUUUUUGCAAGGGAG
This 404-nucleotide unclassified non-coding RNA is filed under the name Hevea brasiliensis (rubber tree). The record is from RNAcentral. Lineage: Eukaryota; Viridiplantae; Streptophyta; Magnoliopsida; Malpighiales; Euphorbiaceae.